This 4102-nucleotide long non-coding RNA is filed under the name Solanum tuberosum (potato). RNAcentral's name for it is "long non-coding RNA (STUB_LNC010792)". Lineage: Eukaryota; Viridiplantae; Streptophyta; Magnoliopsida; Solanales; Solanaceae. The record is from RNAcentral.
CAGAAGAAUCUUCAUCUUUCCACUCUCACUCUCCGCCAGCAACUUUCCUAAAAUAAUCUGAAAGUAUUACCGAUAAAAAUCGUCUCCUUUCUCUCCUAAUAUUGAUUUCAAUCCCUCUCCGGAGAUUCCUUCAUGGAGGAUCAUUUGAACAAGUUACUAAUGAAUGAUUCAUUUUUCUGGAUUUUAUGAAGCAAAAUUCAAUUUAUAACUGGAGCAAAAUUCUUGUAACUUUCUUAGUUAGAUAGUAAGACUCUAGGUAGUUUCGAAAAUAUUGAAUUCAUCAAAAAAUAAAAAUAAAAUUGAAACUCUAUUUUUCUCCUAUCUUGUUUUUUCUUUCAAUUCUAUGUUUGUUUAUAUUUAUUGGGUAAGGCUUUUUGCACUUCAACUAUAGUAAAUAGUUAGUUUGAUCAAGGUAGAAGAGUAUGUAAAUUGAUUGAAUACUACAUGUCGGAGAAACUGCAACUGGGUAAGUAUUAUUUUUUUCUCGGUUGUCUAUUGCUACUUCAGAAAUUUUUUGUCCUUCUCCCUCUCCCCUUCGCUGCAUCAAAGCAUUGUGUUUGUGAUUUCUUUCCUAUUCUGUUUUUUCUUAAUUUCUUCUGCAAUUAUUUGUCUGCUUCGAUUAUUUUACCUUAUUAUUUUGAUGGGUUACAUUUGAAAUUUUUUACCCUUUUAUUGGUGUAUUGACUAUUGAUAAAUGUUGUAUUUGCAGAGUUACCUUCACCCACCUUUUAUUUAUGAUUGUGUUGUCUGUUAAAACUUAGAUGAAAAUUUUCAUGUCCUCUAUCUUGCUAGCUCUCGUGGAUUCGGCUAUGUCACCGUUGCUACAGUUGAGGAUGCUAAGGUGAUUUUGGUUUUAUUUUGAUUUUCAUGUUAUUGUUGUAAUCAUGUUUGUUUACUGAUCUCAAUUAAAAUUUUCUUACACGAUGUGGCCUUGUUUCUUGUGGUUUUGUUGUUAAUUUAACUCAUCAUUUAUGUAUUUGUAUGUUGUAGAAUGCAUUAUUUAAUGCGCACUUUCAUGAAAAUAGAAUGCUAGAAGUGAAGAUACACUGCUCUUACACUUUCUUGACAAAUCUUUCAUUGCCAAACAGAAACGCCAUCAAAAGAACGAUCAAGGGUAAAUUCGUCAUUUUGCUCAAAGACAAAAGAAAGAAUCAGCUUUUUCUUGGCCUUUCUAGAACACUCGGUCGUUUCAUUUCUUUGUUCCAACAAUGGAGAAUUUCUAGAAGACUCCUCCCAAGUGUCCAUAAUUUUCUUUCAUCCAAACUUAAAUUCAAAGGCCUACUCAUUAGCUUCGUCUUCGUAUCUGAACGUGCAUUCUUAGGUCAGCUUUUGCCUCAAUAUUUGCCCUGAUCUUCUUUUAGAAAAGAUUAAAUUUCCAAUAUCAUAACUUAAAAUUCAUAGUUGUUGUGGUUAUUGUUCUACCCAACACUCUCUUCUAUGUUCUCUUUGAUUUUUCAUACGGUACUGCAAAAUCAAAUUAGUUUUUUUCUCUCAAUAUUUUCACAAUCUUAUUCUGGUAGCGUUCACAAUUUCAAUUUUAUGGGUUAAAUUCAUGUCUGCUACUGUUAUUGUUCUAUCUGUUACUAUUAUUGUUCUGUCACAUUAAUUUUCUUCCUUUCGGUCUUCAUUAUUGCUUGUUCUCGAACAAGAGAAAUUGAAGAAUGCAAUUAAAAAUUAAUAGCUAAAAACAUUGUAUUGUAAUUGAGAUUCAAAAUUCGAUAAUAGGGGUAAAAAAUGAAUAUUUGUGAAGAAUGCGGUGUGAGCUUUCAAAGUCUGCUCAUUUGAAGUAGCAUAUGUGAAGUCAUUCACUCGAGAUUAUUGUUGUUGCAUAAAUUUUGUCAAUCUCCAUUUGUGAUGUUAUCACACACAAGUUACUUUGCUAAAAGUUUAGUUUUUGAGAUUAUUUUCGUCAAAUUUAUUUGUUGAUUUUAAUAUAGAUUAUUAUUAAAAAAUAAGUUCAAAAGCGUUCCAUGACAGAACAUACUAUGCCAAUAGUAUUUUGAAAAGUAAUACCAACUCCUUGAACAUAUCUACAUUCUAGACUAGAUACAACUGUGGAAUCAAAGAAAAAAUGAUGUAAUUGUUUGUUAUAUAGUUUUAAAAAUAAUCGUGAUGUCCGUGUCAGCUUGCUUUCAUGCACCGUGACUAAUUUCACGGGUUGAUCUUAUUUGUUUUUUCUAUGUGUAAAAAUUUAAUUAUAGAUUUCAUGGUUCAUUUUUCUUGAUAUUAGGCUUAAAUAAGUAGAACAAAAUGGCUAAGAAAUUCUUGAGUAUAGAGCUAGCUUCAUUGCUGAAGAACUUAUAGCAUGUAAACUAAUUUCUAAAAGUUCCUCAGAUAUAUUGCUCUUUUUUCAGGACUUUUUCAAUAGGAAAGCACCAUUUCUCAAGGCAAUAUGGUAAUGCCAUUAUCUAUGAGCAACAAUAUCUAUAGAUGCAUACCAAUUUUUUAAAUGUUUCUCCCACAAAAAUAGAUUAGUUGAGCAUCUUUCGAAGAAACUGCGGUCAGCCAUACAUCAAAUGCAGUUGGUAGAACCCGUUCGACGAUUCAUUUCAAAGUAACUCGGUAAGAAAUUCUUCUCAUCCUUUCGCAACUCUCUAUGAGUUUAGUUGAACAAAUUUUUUUAAAAGUUAAACAAGGAACUGAUAGUAUUCCUACUCUUUUCUGAACCACCACGAAGCCAAAAAAAAUUAAAAGCUAAGCCUAUAUAUGUCAUGUACAAGCAUGUAGUGGUAGAAACUAAAAGAGUUAAUGUUGCCGAACUUCUUCUUUUUUUAAAUUUUUUUUACCCUCAACUCUAUGGGCCUGAUUUCUAUAAUUAAAAUGGUAAAUGGAGAAGAUUGUUGCUUGAAAGUUGUUACUGAAUGAAUUUACUACUACUGAAUACCCCAGAUGCCUAAAUCAAGUAUGUUGCAUCUUACAUUUCUAUUUUUUUUUUUUUUUUCUUUAUACAUGCAAGAUAUUUUCUACUUUGGCUAUGUCAUGGUACAAGUUCUAACACUCAUUGUGUCGUGAAUGUGUAUACUAAGAGAAUCACUAAUUAUUCCACCUCCUUUCACCUUUGGAGUUGGUGGAAGGUGUUGAGUUCAAACAUCAAAAGGUACAUAUAUAUUUAACAUUCGAAGUUUUAAAUGUAAGAGAGUGACUUUGAUGAGAUUAUAUAUUAGAUGUCGACAAAUGUAUUUUAGGAUGGAUAAGAUGGUUAAUAUAUAUUGUUAGUCAUUUGACAAGCUAUUCUCUAUAGACGACUUACAUUAUUGUUUUAGGAUGAGAGUUGAGAUGUAACAUUAUCAGUUUCAAGAAAAAAAAUGAUAGUUGAGAUGUUCUUACUCCUCCUCGAGAUGUUACACUUAUAAGACUAAAGAGGCAAAUAUGAAUUCCUUUUCUUUCUUUCUAAAUCAAUGUGCUGCAUCAAUUUUUUAUUCCUCAGCAUAAAGUGCUUAAGUACCAUUAUGCUUUUCUAAAUGGUAUGAGUUUCGUUAUGCUAUUAUUUUUGGCACGUACAGAUCUUCCUUAAUCAAGAUUCAUUAUGUCGGGUCCGUGCUUACAAUAUGCUUCUCCUUUGCAUCACCCCCAAAUAACAUUUUCUAGGAGCAUCUAUAAGUGAGCUCCUAGAAAUAUAAAAUAUUGGGCCAUCAGAGUAAUCAGAUACACAAUUUGAACUAAAAGUACAAACAAUAUUUCUCAACAGAUGUAUUGUGCAUUUCUUCUUAACUCUUGAGUCGCAAACUUAGCUUAGCACUUUUUAUAUGUCAAAUGAUAAUUUGUAUAUGUGCAGGAGAAAAAAUCAUGUCUGAUGGUUCUAAGAAUCGACUGAACAAUGUUAAACCUUAACAAAGAAUAAGAUUAACAUUUAUACUUAUAUCAUCACUUUUUUCAUUUCAACUUUUUUAUAUUUUGUUCUUUUAAUUAGAUUUUACAGUUGUGUUUGUUUCUUUAAGGGUAUUUUCAUGAAUUUAAGGUUGUACAAUAGAGAUCAAUGGUAACUUGGAGCAGGUUUAUCUCUAUUGAAUGAAUUUUAUGAUUAUUCAUCUUCAUUUCUUCUAUUAUAGCUAAACUUGCUCAAAUACGUAUAAUGUAUUUUGAUAUUGAUAUUACAAGAAUC